Symphalangus syndactylus (siamang) is the source of this 1255-nucleotide long non-coding RNA. RefSeq lists it as uncharacterized. The record is from RefSeq and is a predicted model, not a curated record. NCBI's taxonomy places the organism in Eukaryota, Metazoa, Chordata, Mammalia, Primates, Hylobatidae.
CUGUAACGCCCCAGCGCUGAGCGGGAUACAAGCGCGGGCUCGUAGCUGUCAGCAGCUGCCCGAGUGAGCGCGGGCUUGAGACCUGCUGAGCAGCGGGACCUGGCGGCUGGCGUUCUGGUGUGGGGCCGAGAACAGACCAUUCUUCUGAAAAGCCACUGGCCCCUUGUUCAAUGAAGUCGAUUUCUCAUUGUCUUCACCAAUCUUCUGAACCCGUGAAUACUUUUUGCAUGAUGAUUUGAAGCAGCCAGGAGGCCAAGACAGCGGCCAGGAGAAGCAGCAAGGAAUUGAGCCUUGUACAUUUUUCUCAAAAAAAUAAAAGAUGGGGAACCACCAUGCUCGAGAUAAGAAAUUAGUCUGUGAAGAGACCUUCAAGUUCUGUAAAUGGGUCUUGCUCUUUCACCCAGGCUGGAGUGCAAUGGGUGGCACAUUAGGUACAGGAGAGACCAACUCGGCUGCUGCCAAACAGGAAAGCUUAUCAUCUACACUGUUUCUUCCAUUAAGAAGAGCCCCCAGCUAUCAAUACAUUACAGCAGGAUGAGAAAGGCCCAGGCCUUUGACAUCCCAGGCUUUGACAGGCCCAGGCUUGACAGUGUCUUGGCACAAUGUUGUGGGAAGAAUAAGCACAAAGAAGAGGUGCCUCAGGAAGGUAUUUUCAACAACAAACCUUCAACACUAUGAACUACUACUUCUAACAGAGGUCCGAAGCACUAACACAGCCAUUCCCUGUCUCUCUUUAGCAGCCUUGCCUAAUCCACUUACAGCAUCUUGCCAAAUCAUCAUCCAAAUUCCCUUCAACUCUACUCUUCCAUAUGUGCUCCUAGUCUUAGGUUCAUGUGUGAAAGAAGCUUGUGAUUUUGAGACUCCAUUUCACAGUGGAUGUACAGAUGGUCUUUAUAAGAGGAAACACUCAGCCACCCACCUCAUGGGACUGCUAUGAGAAUGACUGAAAUAAUUAAUUGUGAAGAGCUUUGUACCCCUGGGAGUAAGAACACUAUGCCAGGUAGAAGAUGCCAAUCAAAAUAAACUGCAUUCCUAAGACACUGGGCAAGAAAUUAAAGCUAUUCAACUCCUCAAGGCCCAGGAACUAUCGUGGAAGAGGACACAACUGGAGAAACUGGUUAUUUUACCAAGGCUUAGGCUGGAAUGGUGUACUUUCCUUUAAAGAAUCAAACUUGACUUAUGGAGCCAAUAAAAGCCUCUUGGGAAAACUGGCCUCAUACUUGUCUACACAGUCCCUGUACAGGGUUCCUGACCU